This 200-nucleotide ribosomal RNA is filed under the name uncultured bacterium. Its description in RNAcentral is "partial 16S ribosomal RNA". It matches the Rfam family "Bacterial small subunit ribosomal RNA", at positions 8 to 219 of the family's 1533-position model. The record is from RNAcentral.
AGAGUUUGAUCCUGGCUCAGGACGAACGCUGGCGGUGUGCCUCACACAUGCAAGUCGAACGAGGUAGCAAUACCUAGUGGCGGACGGGUGAGUAACGCGUAGGAAUCUGCCUUUAGAUGGGGGAUAGCAGGCCGAAAGGCCUAUUAAUACCGCAUAUGUGUGCAUCCCGACAGGGGUGCACAUAAAAGGAGCAAUCCGUC